CCCUUAGAUGUUCUGAACCGCACGCGUGUUACAAUGAUGUGUUCAACGAGCAUAUAACCUUGGCCGAGAGGCCUGGGCAAUCUUUUUAAUGCACAUCGUGUUAGGGAUAGAUUAUUGCAAUUAUUAAUCUUGAACGAGGAAUUCCUAGUAAACGCAGAUCAUCAAUCUGCAUUGAUUACGUCCCUGCCCUUUGUACACACCGCCCGUCGCUCCUACCGAUUGGGUGUGCUGGUGAAAUGUUCGGAUCGGCCGUUUGUCGCGGUUUCCGCGUCAUGUGGCUGAGAAGUUCAUUAAACCCUCCCACCUAGAGGAAGGAGAAGUCGUAACA
RNAcentral lists this ribosomal RNA (328 nucleotides) under uncultured eukaryote. RNAcentral's name for it is "partial 18S ribosomal RNA". It matches the Rfam family "Eukaryotic small subunit ribosomal RNA", at positions 1470 to 1796 of the family's 1831-position model. The record is from RNAcentral.